Molecule: transfer RNA, 73 nt
Filed under: Stegodyphus mimosarum
Lineage: Eukaryota; Metazoa; Arthropoda; Arachnida; Araneae; Eresidae
Rfam family: tRNA
About the family: Transfer RNA (tRNA) molecules are approximately 80 nucleotides in length.
Source: Rfam by way of RNAcentral
ACCUUUGUGGUGUAGUGGUCAGCAUACUCGACGCGUAUUCGAGAGAUCCGUGGUUCGAGUCCUGGCAGGGGCA